GAAAUGCGAUAAGUAAUGUGAACUGCAGAAUUCAGUGAAUCAUCGAAUCUUUGAACGCACAUUGCGCCCGCCAGUAUUCUGGCGGGCAUGCCUGUCCGAGCGUCAUUUCAACCAUCAAGCCCCCGGGCUUGUGUUGGGGACCUGCGGCUGCCCGCAGGCCCUGAAAACCAGUGGCGGGCUCGCUGUCACACCGAGCGUAGUAGCAAUCACCUCGCUCAGGGCGUGCUGCGGGUUCCGGCCGUUAAACAGCCUUACAAAACCCAAGGUUGACCUCGGAUCAGGUAGGAAGACCCGCUGAACUUAAGC
Molecule: unclassified non-coding RNA, 306 nt
Filed under: plant metagenome
Description: partial contains 5.8S ribosomal RNA, internal transcribed spacer 2, and large subunit ribosomal RNA
Rfam family: 5.8S ribosomal RNA (bases 1-105)
Source: RNAcentral